UCACUACAAUGCACGCAUACUUAAUGAUUGGUAAUUCCUUACUGGUUAAAGAGUUUCAGACUUAAGUAUGAUGUUGUGUUUGCAUAUUGUUUGGGAAACCAAACAAAGUAACUUUUUUUGAAGUUACUUAUUUUCACUUCCUGUAUA
Molecule: small RNA, 147 nt
Filed under: Pasteurella dagmatis ATCC 43325
Lineage: Bacteria; Pseudomonadati; Pseudomonadota; Gammaproteobacteria; Pasteurellales; Pasteurellaceae
Description: GcvB RNA
Rfam family: GcvB RNA
About the family: The gcvB gene encodes a small untranslated RNA involved in expression of the dipeptide and oligopeptide transport systems in Escherichia coli. Included several unknown homologues in alignment (Bateman A pers obs).
Source: RNAcentral